CGUGAGCGGCGGACGGGUGAGUAACGCGUGGGUAACCGUGCCUCAUACAGGGGGGUAACAGUUGGAAACGGACUGCUAAUACCGCAUAAGCGCACAGUACCGCAUGGUACGGUGUGAAAAACUCCGGUGGUAUGAGAUGGACCCGCGUCUGAUUAGGUAGUUGGUGGGGUAACGGCCUACCAAGCCGACGAUCAGUAGCCGACCUGAGAGGGUGACCGGCCACAUUGGGACUGAGACACGGCCCAA
Molecule: ribosomal RNA, 246 nt
Filed under: uncultured bacterium
Lineage: Bacteria
Description: partial 16S ribosomal RNA
Rfam family: Bacterial small subunit ribosomal RNA
Source: RNAcentral